RNAcentral lists this long non-coding RNA (260 nucleotides) under Lathyrus oleraceus (garden pea). Its description in RNAcentral is "Pisum sativum (pea) long non-coding RNA (PSAT_LNC013519)". The record is from RNAcentral. Lineage: Eukaryota; Viridiplantae; Streptophyta; Magnoliopsida; Fabales; Fabaceae.
UCGUUUAUUGGUUAUCACAGGUUGGUUUAAGUGGAAUUGCUCUUAAAAUGAAGGAUUACCUGAUGAGCAGGUUUUGAUGAUUAGUGUAAUGGAGUCAAGUCAGGUUGUUUUAGUGAAAUGGUGAAGUGGAGUGUUAAUGGCUGUAGCAGGUAAUCCUAGGAUUAAACUAAAUGAAAUCACUGCAUCCUCUUGAACUGGUUAUGUUAAUUUAAUGCAUUGCAAUCUCUUCUUGUACACUCUCUCUUUUGAACAAUUCUCAU